AUUCUCUUGCUUCAGCCUCCCGAAUAGCUCGGACUAUAGGCGCCCGCCACCGCUCCCAGCCAAUUUUUUUGUGUUUUUAGCAGAAACGGGGUUUCACCGUGUUAGCCAGGAUGGUCUCGAUCGCCUGACCUCGUGAUCCGCCCGCCUCGGCCUCCCAAAGUGCUGGAAUUACAGGCGUGAGCCACUGCGCCCGGCCGAGAAACCUAUUUUUGAUGUUUAUAUUUGGUGAGUGUUUCUUUUUACUGUUUAAUCAUGGUUUUGAAAGCCAUAAGGAAGGAAAAGCAUGGCAAUGCUAAUUGCAGUGGAUUUAAGACAACGUCUAUGUGUUCUUUGACACUUCUCCCAUCAAGGACCUAAUUCCCUUUCCUUUGGUCCUAAUUAGUAGAAUGUGUUAGAAAUGCAUGACCACAGAGGCUGGUCAUAAAUGGUGACACAGCAUUCCCCUGGCUUUGUUUCCCAGGAUACUUGCUCUUGGAGCCCACCUGCCCUGCUGGGAGGUGCUGGGAACACCUGGAGAGCCAUGUGCAGCUGUGUGGCCAGCAAUCCCAGCUUUGUUCCCAGCCAGCUGCCAGACCUGGGAGUGAGGAAGCCUUCCAGAAGACCCCAGCCUAGUCCCCAUCUGACAGCGACCUCAUGAGAUAUCCUGAGUGAGAUCUACCCAGCCGAGCCCAAUAAACCCAUGAAAACAUCAGAGCUUUUCUGGGGUUGUGCUGGUUAUACCAACCUUAUCUCAGCUACCUGAAGGAUUGUCGUGCUGGAGAAGACGUGUGGAGACCCACCUGACCAAAGCUCAACUUCAUGAACAUAAGAG
This 811-nucleotide long non-coding RNA is filed under the name Homo sapiens (human). RNAcentral's name for it is "non-protein coding lnc-GAS1-1:5". Lineage: Eukaryota; Metazoa; Chordata; Mammalia; Primates; Hominidae. The record is from RNAcentral.